CCCGCACAAGCAGUGGAGUAUGUGGUUUAAUUCGAAGCAACGCGAAGAACCUUUACCAGGGCUUGACAUCCCUUGAAGCAGCUAGAGAUAGCUGUGUCCUUCGGGACAAGGAGACAGGUGGUGCAUGGUUGUCGUCAGCUCGUGUCGUGAGAUGUUGGGUUAAGUCCCGCAACGAGCGCAACCCCUGUGGUUAGUUGCCAGCAAGUAGCGUUGGGCACUCUAGCCAGACUGCCGGUGAUAAAUCGGAGGAAGGUGGGGACGACGUCAAAUCAUCAUGCCCUUUAUGUCCUGGGCUACACACGUACUACAAUGGCCGUUACAACGGGAAGCGAAGGAGCAAUCCGGAGCAAAUCCCUUAAAGGCGGUCCCAGUUCAGAUUGUGGGCUGAAACUCGCCCACAUGAAGGCGGAAUUGCUAGUAAUUGCAGAUCAGCAUGCUGCAGUGAAUACGUUCCCGGGCCUU
This 462-nucleotide ribosomal RNA is filed under the name uncultured Oscillospiraceae bacterium. RNAcentral describes it as "bacterial SSU rRNA". It matches the Rfam family "Bacterial small subunit ribosomal RNA", at positions 920 to 1382 of the family's 1533-position model. Lineage: Bacteria; Bacillati; Bacillota; Clostridia; Eubacteriales; Oscillospiraceae. The record is from RNAcentral.